UAAACGAGAGACGGCGUCGGGCGAACACAAGUUAAAGAGGUGAAUUAAUGUGCGUGAGAGGGAGAGGUGGCCGGAAAAGAAGAGAAGGAGAGCAGAGUCCCCUCUGAGGCCCUCUCUCGCUCUCGCACCCUUCCCCGCUGCCCCCUCGACGAGCACGAGCUGGCCGUACCGCUUCCUCCCGCACCUCCUUCGGGAGGACGAGCGCUCGGCGCGCUGCCUACCGCCGGCGCUGCUCCCGGAGCCCGACCCCCACGCGCUGCUCCACUUCUUCGUCGACACCGACCGGCCCGGCGAGUAGCGGCCGCGCGACGACGUCUUGGAGUAGGUCUACUAGAGGCAGUACAUGCAGCCGGUGGAGCCGCUCGAGCGGGAGCGGCCGCGGAGGUACCGGUCGAGGAAGCGGUGGCAGUGGCCGAAGUCGGAGGACGAACCUUACCGCUCACGUGACCUGUGGGACACGCCGGUUCGUAUGCCUCGGUCCGUUAUGGUGGAGGAGCCGCAGAUGUUCGUCGCCCGCUACCACUAGGAGUGGGACCAGUCGUAGGGCGACCGGCAGCACACCAAGAUGUGGCCGCUCUAGGACGAGGACAAGCCCGUCCUGGGGCUGUAGCGGCGCCUCCGGCCGUGCAUGCGGGCCACCUACUAGGGCCGCUAUAAGCGGAUGCCCGACGACGUCACGGUGCAGGCCAAGGACGUCUGCGUCUUGUAGCACAAGGGGCACUACCGGUCGCGGCCGCGGCGGCGCCGCAAGGUGGAGGAGCAGACGACCGACGAGCACAUGCAGCGGCCCUACCCGUCGUUCCCGCGGCGCGAGUCGUUGCGGUAGAGGAUGACCCAGAUGCACUAGCACGACCGCCACAUGCACGCCCACAGCCCUAGGACGUUCCUCUGCACCUGCCCCAAGAGGUGCCUCCGCAAGGCGCUGCACGAGUCGAAGAAGGCCGAGCGGCAGGGCAGGCGGGAGUACCAGACGAACCUCUACACCAGCAAACUCGAGUAUCACGAGGACAGUCCGGAAGAAGGGUUAGGUUUCGACCUCUGAAGCCACGACAGGUAGUCGGAGUUGUGGCGACGGAAGCAUACCUACUAGGGGAAACCGGAGCCGAGCCGGUAUUCGUGGGCACAGAGUUUGCUCGAGCCUCGCCCCGCCGGGCUGCGACGGGCGGAGCGCCACGCACAGCAGCAGAAGAACCGGUACCGCCUUCCUGACCAGUACCCCAACCACGACUAGACGUAGUCUAUGCAGACCCCCGUACGGAUGUCGCUGCACCUCCUCCAACACUGAAUGCAACGGACCUACUACGAGUAGUAGAGCCAGAGGUUGAAGAAGCUGCCUUAAGUCACGCAGGAAAGUCCCCACCGAUCUCCGACACCUACCGUCUUCUAACCACGAACCUAGUUAGAACCACGGAUGAUAUAACAGCCGUAGGGGAGCCGGAUGGAGUAUCGGAAGCAGAACGUUCAGCCGCCCUGCCCUGAAACCGACCCGUAGUAGACACCGGACUACCACGUUCAGGACGACGAGUACCGGUAGUGCUAUACGUGUCUGACCCUAUUUCUCCGCCUAUUCCGUUUCCUGUCCCAUAAGUCAAGAAGAGAGGGUUGUCUAAAGCGUUGACUUCUGUCACGUUAGAUCUCAAGAUCUGAUGAUUCGUUUGUUCGAUCCUUUCCUUCUACUGCGUUAAGGUAGGUCGAACCACUUCCUGUUCUUCUUUUUGUACCCCCUCACCAGAGUACUACUUUGACGGAGGUCGAUGAUGAUGAUAACGCUGGGGUCGGUCUUGGUUUGGGUGGUGUCUUAAAUUGUAUAACAUAGUAAACAUACCGUGACUCGUCAUCUUGAUUAUUAACUUUUUGUAAGUCCUAUUCAAUGGUAGUUC
RNAcentral lists this ribosomal RNA (1880 nucleotides) under Triticum aestivum (bread wheat). Its description in RNAcentral is "partial small subunit ribosomal RNA". Lineage: Eukaryota; Viridiplantae; Streptophyta; Magnoliopsida; Poales; Poaceae. The record is from RNAcentral.